RNAcentral lists this ribosomal RNA (903 nucleotides) under Bacillus sp. (in: firmicutes). RNAcentral's name for it is "bacterial SSU rRNA". It matches the Rfam family "Bacterial small subunit ribosomal RNA", at positions 56 to 939 of the family's 1533-position model. The record is from RNAcentral. Lineage: Bacteria; Bacillati; Bacillota; Bacilli; Caryophanales; Bacillaceae.
UGCCAAGUCGAGCAGAACAGAAGGGAGCUUGCUCCCGGAUGUUAGCGGCGGACGGGUGAGUAACACGUGGGUAACCUGCCUGUAAGACUGGGAUAACUCCGGGAAACCGGAGCUAAUACCGGAUAGUUCCUUGAACCGCAUGGUUCAAGGAUGAAAGACGGUUUCGGCUGUCACUUACAGAUGGACCCGCGGCGCAUUAGCUAGUUGGUGGGGUAAUGGCUCACCAAGGCGACGAUGCGUAGCCGACCUGAGAGGGUGAUCGGCCACACUGGGACUGAGACACGGCCCAGACUCCUACGGGAGGCAGCAGUAGGGAAUCUUCCGCAAUGGACGAAAGUCUGACGGAGCAACGCCGCGUGAGUGAUGAAGGUUUUCGGAUCGUAAAGCUCUGUUGUUAGGGAAGAACAAGUGCGAGAGUAACUGCUCGCACCUUGACGGUACCUAACCAGAAAGCCACGGCUAACUACGUGCCAGCAGCCGCGGUAAUACGUAGGUGGCAAGCGUUGUCCGGAAUUAUUGGGCGUAAAGGGCUCGCAGGCGGUUUCUUAAGUCUGAUGUGAAAGCCCCCGGCUCAACCGGGGAGGGUCAUUGGAAACUGGGAAACUUGAGUGCAGAAGAGGAGAGUGGAAUUCCACGUGUAGCGGUGAAAUGCGUAGAGAUGUGGAGGAACACCAGUGGCGAAGGCGACUCUCUGGUCUGUAACUGACGCUGAGGAGCGAAAGCGUGGGGAGCGAACAGGAUUAGAUACCCUGGUAGUCCACGCCGUAAACGAUGAGUGCUAGUGGUUAGGGGGUUUCCGCCCCUUAGUGCUGCAGCUAACGCAUUAAGCACUCCGCCUGGGGGAGUACGGUCGCAAGACUGAAACUCAAAGGAAUUGACGGGGGCCGCACAAGCGGUGGAGCA